AACGUAGGAGACAAACGUUAUCCGGAGUUACUGGGCGUAAAGGGCGUGUAGGUGGUUUCGUAAGUCUGGCGUGAAAUAUCUCGGCUUAACCGAGGCAGGUCGUCGGAUACUGCGGGACUAGAGGACGGUAGAGGCGUGUGGAAUUCCGGGUGUAGUGGUGAAAUGCGUAGAGAUCAUGAGGAAGACCAGUGGCGAAGGCGGGUCUCUGGACAGUUCCUGACACUGAGGCACGAAGGCCAGGGGAGCAAACGGG
Molecule: ribosomal RNA, 253 nt
Filed under: uncultured bacterium
Lineage: Bacteria
Description: partial 16S ribosomal RNA
Rfam family: Bacterial small subunit ribosomal RNA
Source: RNAcentral